UACGGAGAGUGCAAACGUUGUUCGGAUUCACUGGGCGUAAAGGGCACGUAGGCGGCUCGGCAAAUCGGUCGUGGAAUCACGACGCUUACCGUCGGAACGGCGGCCGAAAAUACCGGGCUCGAGGGCGUGAGGGGUCACUGGAACUCCUGGUGAAGCGGUGAAAUGCGUAGAUAUCAGGAGGAACGCCGGAGGCGAAAGCGAGUGACUGGCGCGUUCCUGACGCUGAGGUGCGAAAGCUAGGGGAGCAAACAGG
RNAcentral lists this ribosomal RNA (253 nucleotides) under uncultured bacterium. RNAcentral describes it as "partial 16S ribosomal RNA". It matches the Rfam family "Bacterial small subunit ribosomal RNA", at positions 524 to 776 of the family's 1533-position model. The record is from RNAcentral.